ACUAGAUCUAGCCCACACUCCCCCCCNNNNNNCCCCCCCCAAUCACAGACAAAUCAAAUAAAGCAUUCACCACCCAUUCAAAGUAUAGGAGAUAGAAAUCCAAAUCACUAGUGGCGCUAUAGAGAAAGUACCGUAAGGGAAAGAUGAAAGAUAUCCUAAAAGUAAAAAAAAGCAAAGCUUACCCCUUGUACCUUUUGCAUAAUGAAUUAACUAGUAGUAACUUAGCAAAGAGACCUUUAGUUAAACUACCCGAAACCAGACGAGCUACUUACGAACAGUACCUAGAACGAACUCAUCUAUGUGGCAAAAUAGUGAGAAGAUUUGUAAGUAGAGGUGAAAAGCCUAACGAGCCUGGUGAUAGCUGGUUGUCCAAGAAAAGAAUCUCAGUUCAACAUUAAACAGUACCAAGAACCCCCUGAAGUUCCAAUGUAUGUUUAACUGUUAGUCUAAAAAGGUACAGCUUUUUAGAAAUGGGUACAACCUUAACUAGAGAGUAAAACAGACACACACAUGCCAUAGUUGGCUUAAAAGCAGCCAUCAAUUAAGAAAGCGUUCAAGCUCAACAAUAAAACUGUGUUAUAAUCCCAACAAUAACAAAUCAACUCCUAGUAUAAUUAUUGGACUAAUCUAUAUAAUUAUAGAAGCAAUACUGUUAACAUGAGUAACAAGAAAACUUUUUCUCCUCGCACAAGCUUACAUCAGUAACUGAUACUACACUGAUAGUUAACAGCCAAUAAAUAAAACCCAACGCCAAGCCAUUUAUUAAGCCCACUGUUAACCCAACACAGGCGUGCACCAAGGAAAGAUUAAAAAAAGUAAAAGGAACUCGGCAAACACAAACCUCGCCUGUUUACCAAAAACAUCACCUCUAGCAUAACCAGUAUUAGAGGCACUGCCUGCCCAGUGACUGAUAGUUAAACGGCCGCGGUAUCCUGACCGUGCAAAGGUAGCAUAAUCACUUGUUCUCUAAAUAAGGACUUGUAUGAACGGCCACACGAAGGUUUUACUGUCUCUUACUUUUAAUCAGUGAAAUUGACCUUCCCGUGAAGAGGCGGGAAUAACAAAACAAGACGAGAAGACCCUAUGGAGCUUCAAUUAAUCAACCCAAUAACCCACAACCUCAAACCACCAAGGGAUAAAAAAAAACUUAUAUGGGUUGACAAUUUCGGUUGGGGUGACCUCGGAGCACAAAAACCCCUCCGAGUGAUUAAAGCCUAGGCCUACCAGCCAAAGCAUAACAUCACUUAUUGAUCCAAAGCUUUGAUCAACGGAACAAGUUACCCUAGGGAUAACAGCGCAAUCCUAUUCUAGAGUCCAUAUCGACAAUAGGGUUUACGACCUCGAUGUUGGAUCAGGACAUCCUAAUGGUGCAGCCGCUAUUAAGGGUUCGUUUGUUCAACGAUUAAAGUCCUACGUGAUCUGAGUUCAGACCGGAGCAAUCCAGGUCGGUUUCUAUCUGUUGCGCAUUUCUCCCAGUACGAAAGGACAAGAGAAAUAAGGCCAACUUUACACACGCGCCUUCAAAUAACUAAUGAUCUAAUCUUAAUUAAACAAACAAGCGCAAACUAACCCUGCCCAAGACCAGGGCAUU
Molecule: ribosomal RNA, 1591 nt
Filed under: Physeter macrocephalus (sperm whale)
Lineage: Eukaryota; Metazoa; Chordata; Mammalia; Artiodactyla; Physeteridae
Description: Physeter catodon (sperm whale) 16S ribosomal RNA
Rfam family: Bacterial large subunit ribosomal RNA
Source: RNAcentral